Molecule: ribosomal RNA, 774 nt
Filed under: uncultured Neocallimastigales
Lineage: Eukaryota; Fungi; Neocallimastigomycota; Neocallimastigomycetes; Neocallimastigales
Description: partial large subunit ribosomal RNA
Rfam family: Eukaryotic large subunit ribosomal RNA
Source: RNAcentral
UACGACUACAUAUCAGGCAUAUCAAUAAGCGGAGGAAAAGAAACUAACAAGGAUUCCCUUAGUAACGGCGAGUGAAGCGGGAAGAGCUCAAAUUUGAAAUCUUCAAGGUUUUACCUUGACGAAUUGUAGUUUAAAGAAGUGUUUUCUGUUGAAGUUUUGGUAAAAGUUCUUUGGAAUAGGACAUCAUAGAGGGUGAGAAUCCCGUAUUUGACCAUUAUUUUCAGCUGUGUGAUACACUUUCAAAGAGUCGGAUUGUUUGGGAAUGCAGUCCAAAAUGGGUGGUAAAUUUCAUCUAAAGCUAAAUAUUGGCGAGAGACCGAUAGCGAACAAGUACCGUGAGGGAAAGAUGAAAAGAACUUUGAAAAGAGAGUUAAACAGUACGUGAAAUUGUCAAAAGGGAAGCGUUUGACACCAGUGUUGUUUUCUCGAAAAUCAAUUAAAAAGAGUUGGAUUUUGUGUUGUAUUGACCUUAACAGCUUGCUUCACUCUUUUCCAGCUUUUUUUAAUGCACUUUUCGUUUAACAAGUCAACAUCAGUUUCUUUUGUUGUAAAAGGGUCAUUGGAAGGUGGCUUUCUCUUCGGAGAAAGUGUUUAUAGCCUUUGAUCUCUGCAAUCGGAGAGACUGAGGUCUGCAGCGUAGAUCCUUCGGGGUUAGAUACAUUUGUGCUAAGCUACAGCUUUUCAUAGACAACUUGUUGACUAUGUUUAGUCUUGUGACUUACCCGCUUAUGCUAUUUUACCUACGCUUAGGAUGUUGAGCGCAUGUCUCUCUCU